Molecule: long non-coding RNA, 537 nt
Organism: Alosa alosa (allis shad)
Lineage: Eukaryota; Metazoa; Chordata; Actinopteri; Clupeiformes; Clupeidae
Exons: 3
Source: RefSeq, a predicted model, not a curated record
UUUAAAUUCUGAGUGAGUUGGUGCAGUGAGCAUCUAGCUAGAUUGCUGUUAACAGAACUAGAGUUAACUAGUGCUGCGUCCGUGUAAAACAAACAUGCAAGCAGUUUUUGUAAGGUAAUAUGUGGUUAUAUUAUGUAGUAAGUAUAAGCAUUUUAAAAUUCUAAACUUGUUCUUUGCCUUUUAGGUUGCUGGUCCAAGAAUGAUCUGGAACUAACAUCUACGGUCCUAUGAGGUGACAACUGCAAACACAAGCCUGUCGAUCCACCUGCAGUCUGGUCUGAAUGAUACAGUCCCUCUUCCAGCAUACAAGAUAGGCGGCUCGCUGCUGCUAACCCUCAAACGGUUCAUUCAAGUGAGACAGAACUAAGUAGCACAAUGGCAGCUGCAUCCCCUGAACCAAUGAUUCUACGUGUUGUUGAGCCAGACCAGGCUAGAAAAUUAAAACUCAACUCACGACCAGCCUCUGUUGAUGCACUGAUCAAUAUUCUAAAAGAACAGCUGGACAUUGACCUUGACUUUGAUUUACUUUAUGAAGAU